Molecule: ribosomal RNA, 301 nt
Filed under: uncultured bacterium
Lineage: Bacteria
Description: partial 16S ribosomal RNA
Rfam family: Bacterial small subunit ribosomal RNA
Source: RNAcentral
CAGUCGCCGCGGUAAUCCGUAGGGUGCAAGCGUUAAUCGGAAUUACUGGGCGUAAAGCGUGCGCAGGCGGUUAUAUAAGUCAGAUGUGAAAUCCCCGGGCUCAACCUGGGAACUGCAUUUGAGACUGUAUGGCUAGAGUGUGUCAGAGGGGGGUAGAAUUCCACGUGUAGCAGUGAAAUGCGUAGAGAUGUGGAGGAACACCGAUGGCGAAGGCAGCCCCCUGGGCCAAUACUGACGCUCAUGCACGAAAGCGUGGGGAGCAAACAGGAUUAGAUACCCGUGUAGUCCCUGUCUCUUAUAC